This 422-nucleotide ribosomal RNA is filed under the name uncultured bacterium. Its description in RNAcentral is "bacterial SSU rRNA". It matches the Rfam family "Bacterial small subunit ribosomal RNA", at positions 355 to 774 of the family's 1533-position model. The record is from RNAcentral.
UGGGGAAUAUUGGACAAUGGAGGCAACUCUGAUCCAGCCAUGCCGCGUGAAGGAAUAAGGCCCUAUGGGUUGUAAACUUCUUUUAGACGGGACAAAACCCCUUUACGUGUAAAGGGUUGAUGGUACUGUCAGAAUAAGCAUCGGCUAACUUCGUGCCAGCAGCCGCGGUAAUACGAAGGAUGCAAGCGUUAUCCGGAAUUAUUGGGUUUAAAGGGUGCGUAGGCGGACUAAUAAGUCAGUGGUGAAAGCCUGCAGCUUAACUGCAGAAUUGCCAUUGAUACUGUUAGUCUUGAGUACAGUUGAGGUAGGCGGAAUGUGUCAUGUAGCGGUGAAAUGCUUAGAUAUGACACAGAACACCGAUUGCGAAGGCAGCUUGCUAAGCUGUAACUGACGCUGAGGCACGAAAGCGUGGGGAGCAAACA